UACGUAGGGUGCGAGCGUUGUCCGGAAUUAUUGGGCGCAAAGAGCUUGUAGGCGGUUUGUCGCGUCUGCUGUGAAAAUCCGGGGGCUCAACCCCGGACUUGCAGUGGGUACGGGGCAGACUAGAGUGUGGUAGGGGAGGACUGGAAUUCCUGGUGUAGCUGUGAAAUGCGCAGAUAUCAGGAGGAACACCGAUGGCGAAGGCAGGUCUCUGGGCCACUACUGACGCUGAGGUGCGAAAGCGUGGGUAGCAAACAGGAUUAGA
Molecule: ribosomal RNA, 262 nt
Filed under: uncultured prokaryote
Description: partial 16S ribosomal RNA
Rfam family: Bacterial small subunit ribosomal RNA
Source: RNAcentral